Long non-coding RNA from Phragmites australis (common reed), 1012 nucleotides. RefSeq lists it as uncharacterized. The record is from RefSeq and is a predicted model, not a curated record. The transcript is spliced from 3 exons. NCBI's taxonomy places the organism in Eukaryota, Viridiplantae, Streptophyta, Magnoliopsida, Poales, Poaceae.
AAUUUUGACUUUUUGAUCCGUGGCUCGUAUCGACGAUCGGAGACCGUGGUUGCGUUCAUCUCGUCGAGACGAACCCAUUUUGCUAUUCAUACGUCCAUUCCGGGCACUUUGUGAUCCGUAGCAAGCCCAAUAAAUUUAGACCGUUCGUUGUUUUAAAAAAAAAUAAAAUGAAAAAAAAGAGGAUAAGUACUAAAGACCGAUCCAUCCAGACACUUCGCUCUCGUUCGCGUUUGCUCUCUCUCUCUUCUCGUUGCUGAGCAUGUCUGUUGCCGCUGCUCCUGCCAUCGCUCGCGUGCGCCGCCGUGCGUCGUGCGCUGCUGCCCGCGCCGUCCGCCGGUCGAACCCGUCCUCCGGCGUGCCGCGCACCUCGCCGCGCCGCUGCGCCGCGCCCCACCACCUGCUGUGCGCCGUCGUCGCGCUGGGCCGGCUCUACGCCGUCGCGCCAGGCUGUGCGUCCUGCCGCCUCUGCGCUGAGCUGCUGCUGCCGCCGGUGCUGCGUGCUGCCGUGCCUCUGUGCUAAUCGCUGUGUGAAGGAGCAGCAGCAGCCACAAGCCAGCCGGCCGAAGCAGCCAGCUGACCGAUCGAAGAAGCAAGCAGCCAGCGCAGGAAGAAGCCAGGAAAGAGAAAGGAAGAAAGAAAAGAAAAGAAAAAGAAGAAGAAAAAAAAGGGAAGAAAAAAAAAGAGAAAAGAAAAAAAGGGAAAGUUGGAAAUUUCGGAAUUUCGUCGGAUCGUCGUCAAUCUUUCGAAGGCGAUUUCUCGGUGGUACUAUUUCCGGACGUUCUUGAUCGAAUUUUCUUCAUCGUCGGUAAAGGCAAGUGAAUGUAUGUUUAGAUGUUGACGUACAUUUUGGGGAUGGAUCUCGGUAGCUGCACACACUAACUUAUCACGAUGUCGAUAGCUCAACCGGUGUAUACAAGUGGUGUGUCUGAUGGUCCGUCGUUUGUUUUUGUUUAUGUUGUGGUUCGACGCUGGUAGCGUCAUGGCGGACUCUAUAUAUAUGCUGGUUAUAUCU